This 253-nucleotide ribosomal RNA is filed under the name uncultured bacterium. Its description in RNAcentral is "partial 16S ribosomal RNA". It matches the Rfam family "Bacterial small subunit ribosomal RNA", at positions 524 to 776 of the family's 1533-position model. The record is from RNAcentral.
UACAGAGGUCUCAAGCGUUGUUCGGAUUCAUUGGGCGUAAAGGGUGUGUAGGUGGCGCCGUAAGUCGGGUGUGAAAUCUUGGAGCUUAACUCCGAAACUGCAUUCGAUACUGCCGUGCUUGAGGACUGGAGAGGAGACUGGAAUUUACGGUGUAGCGGUGAAAUGCGUAGAUAUCGUAAGGAAGACCAGUGGCGAAGGCGGGUCUCUGGACAGUUCCUGACGCUGAGGCACGAAGGCCAGGGGAGCAAACGGG